UGGGGGGAUAUUGCGGCAAUGGGGGGCAACCCUGACGCAGCAACGCCGCGUGAAGGAAGAAGGUUUUCGGAUUGUAAACUUCUUUAAGUGUGGAAGAAAUUGACGGUACACACAGAAUAAGCCACGGCUAACUACGUGCCAGCAGCCGCGGUAAUACGUAGGUGGCGAGCGUUGUCCGGAUUUACUGGGUGUAAAGGGCGUGUAGGCGGGAUUACAAGUCAGAUGUGAAAUACCAGGGCUUAACUCCGGGGCUGCAUUUGAAACUGUAGUUCUUGAGUGCCGGAGAGGAAAGCGGAAUUCCUAGUGUAGCGGUGAAAUGCGUAGAUAUUAGGAGGAACACCAGUGGC
This 347-nucleotide ribosomal RNA is filed under the name uncultured Clostridium sp. Its description in RNAcentral is "bacterial SSU rRNA". It matches the Rfam family "Bacterial small subunit ribosomal RNA", at positions 354 to 716 of the family's 1533-position model. Lineage: Bacteria; Bacillati; Bacillota; Clostridia; Eubacteriales; Clostridiaceae. The record is from RNAcentral.